RNAcentral lists this ribosomal RNA (672 nucleotides) under uncultured archaeon. Its description in RNAcentral is "bacterial SSU rRNA". It matches the Rfam family "Archaeal small subunit ribosomal RNA", at positions 99 to 754 of the family's 1478-position model. The record is from RNAcentral.
CGUGGUUAACCUGCCCUUGGGACGGAAACACCCCCGGGAAACUGGGGCUAAUUUCCGAUAGGUGAAGACUCCUGGAAUGGAUCUUCGCCUAAAGGGCGCUUAGGCCAUGCUUCUAAGCGCUGCCCAAGGAUGGGACCGCGGCCGAUCAGGUUGUUGGUGAGGUAAUGGCUCACCAAGCCUUUAACCGGUUCGGGCCGUGGGAGCGGGAGCCCGGAGAUGGGCACUGAGACAAGGGCCCAGGUCCUACGGGGCGCAGCAGUCGCGAAAACUCCGCAAUACGCGAAGGCGUGACGGGGCUAUCCCGAGUGCCGUCCGCUGAGGAUGGCUUUUCCCCAGUGUAGAUAGCUGGGGGAAUAAGGAGAGGGCAAGUCUGGUGUCAGCCGCCGCGGUAAUACCAGCUCUCCGAGUGGUGGGGACGUUUAUUGGGCCUAAAGCAUCCGUAGCCAGCUGAGCAAGUCCCCAGUUAAAUCCAGCGAUUUAAUCGUUGGACUGCUGGGGAUACUGUCCGGCUAGGGGGUGGGAGAGGCCGACGGUAUUCCCGGGGUAGGGGUGAAAUCCUAUAAUCCCGGGAGGACCACCAGUGGCGAAGGCUGUUGGCUAAAACAUGCCCGACGGUGAGGGAUGAAAGCUGGGGGAGCGAACCGGAUUAGAUACCCGGGUAGUCCCAGCUGU